Molecule: ribosomal RNA, 253 nt
Filed under: uncultured bacterium
Lineage: Bacteria
Description: partial 16S ribosomal RNA
Rfam family: Bacterial small subunit ribosomal RNA
Source: RNAcentral
UACGUAGGGACCAAGCGUUGUUCGGAUUUACUGGGCGUAAAGGGCGCGUAGGCGGCGCGGUAAGUCACUUGUGAAAUCUCUGAGCUUAACUCAGAACGGCCAAGUGAUACUGCAGUGCUAGAGUGUGGAAGGGGCAAUCGGAAUUCUUGGCGUAGCGGUGAAAUGCGUAGAUAUCAAGAGGAACACCUGAGGUGAAGACGGGUUGCUGGGCCAACACUGACGCUGAGGCGCGAAAGCCAGGGGAGCAAACGGG